RNAcentral lists this ribosomal RNA (463 nucleotides) under uncultured bacterium. RNAcentral's name for it is "partial 16S ribosomal RNA". It matches the Rfam family "Bacterial small subunit ribosomal RNA", at positions 28 to 507 of the family's 1533-position model. The record is from RNAcentral.
GACGAACGCUGGCGGCGUGCUUAACACAUGCGAGUCGAGCGGUAAGGCCCUUCGGGGUACACGAGCGGCGAACGGGUGAGUAACACGUGAGUAAUCUGCCCAUCACUUCGGGAUAACUCCGGGAAACCGGUGCUAAUACCGAAUAUGACCACUUCAGGCAUCUGAUGGUGGUGGAAAGUUCCGGCGGUGAUGGAUGAGCUCGCGGCCUAUCAGCUUGUUGGUGGGGUAGUGGCCUACCAAGGCCUCGACGGGUAGCCGGCCUGAGAGGGUGACCGGCCACACUGGGACUGAGACACGGCCCAGACUCCUACGGGAGGCAGCAGUGGGGAAUAUUGGACAAUGGGCGAAAGCCUGAUCCAGCAACGCCGCGUGAGGGAUGACGGCCUUCGGGUUGUAAACCUCUUUCAGCAGGGACGAAGCGCAAGUGACGGUACCUGCAGAAGAAGCACCGGCCAACUACGUG